Molecule: non-coding RNA, 148 nt
Filed under: Gorilla gorilla gorilla (western lowland gorilla)
Lineage: Eukaryota; Metazoa; Chordata; Mammalia; Primates; Hominidae
Source: Rfam by way of RNAcentral
GCUGGGCAUGGUGGCGCAUGCCUGUAGUCCCAGCUGCUUGGGAGGCUGAGGCAGGAGAAUCACUUGAACCCAGGAGUUGGAGGUUGCAGUGAGCCGAGAUCUUGCCACUGCACUCCAGCCUGGGUGACAGAGCGAGACUCUGUCUAAA